Long non-coding RNA from Oncorhynchus tshawytscha (Chinook salmon), 643 nucleotides. Lineage: Eukaryota; Metazoa; Chordata; Actinopteri; Salmoniformes; Salmonidae. The record is from Ensembl.
GGGUGAUUGUUCCUGUCUCUGUGUUUGCACAAGAUAGGGCUGGUUUGGGUUUCACGAAUCCCGUAACACUGGGCUUCUGGACUGGAGGAAAAGGGGAGGUCUGUUAAUGGUGAGAUCAGAAAUAUGCAUACCUUCAGGCUGGAAGGGUGGAGAUGGACAGACAGACAGAGCAGACAGAUCCCAUCACCUGCCCAUUGUCACACAGAAGUUAUCAUGAAGGAUUCAGUCAGCCUUGUUUCACCAAGAGGCCUCUCUCAGCCUAGGCUAAUUGGCACUAGACUACUUGCUGUUGAUAUCUGAGGAACAGAGGGCAUCAACUGCUGCAGAAGUUGGAGAUAAAAAUGUAGUGUAAUACAUUUUUCACGUCUGCCAUACUUUAUUUUACACGAUCCUAAUGUAUUUUUUAUUAUACAAGGGAAAACAGAGUUUUGAUCAGUCACUUCAGGGACAAGUUAGCUCUUUGCAUGGUGCCUCUCUCUCUCUCUCUCUCAUUUUCUUUUUCUCUUAUCUCUUUCUGUCACAAACACACGCACACACAAACACACACACAGUUGCUCCUUACAUUUUUUUCUUACCCUGUCACGUUCUUACAAAGUAAUAUACUGGCUGAAAGCAAUCAUAUGUCUUUCAAGCAUCAGGAUAC